ACGGGUGAGUAACGCGUGGGAAUCUACCCAUCUCUACGGAAUAACGCAUGGAAACGUGUGCUAAUACCGUAUACGUCCUUCGGGAGAAAGAUUUAUCGGAGAUGGAUGAGCCCGCGUUGGAUUAGCUAGUUGGUGGGGUAAAGGCCUACCAAGGCGACGAUCCAUAGCUGGUCUGAGAGGAUGAUCAGCCACACUGGGACUGAGACACGGCCCAGACUCCUACGGGAGGCAGCAGUGGGGAAUAUUGGACGAUGGGCGCAAGCCUGAUCCAGCCAUGCCGCGUGAGUGAUGAAGGCCCUAGGGUUGUAAAGCUCUUUCACCGGUGAAGAUAAUGACGGUAACCGGAGAAGAAGCCCCGGCUAACUUCGUGCCAGCAGCCGCGGUAAUACGAAGGGGGCUAGCGUUGUUCGGAUUUACUGGGCGUAAAGCGCACGUAGGCGGACUAAUAAGUCAGGGGUGAAAUCCCGGGGCUCAACCCCGGAACUGCCUUUGAUACUGGUAGUCUUGAGUUCGAGAGAGGUGAGUGGAAUUCCAAGUGUAGAGGUGAAAUUCGUAGA
RNAcentral lists this ribosomal RNA (557 nucleotides) under uncultured bacterium. RNAcentral describes it as "bacterial SSU rRNA". It matches the Rfam family "Bacterial small subunit ribosomal RNA", at positions 102 to 694 of the family's 1533-position model. The record is from RNAcentral.